CUGCUGCCUUCCGUAGGAGUUUGGGCCGUGUCUCAGUCCCAAUGUGGCCGUCCACCCUCUCAGGCCGGCUACUGAUCGUCGCCUUGGUGGGCCUUUACCCCGCCAACCAGCUAAUCAGACGCGGGUCCAUCCCAUACCACCUUGGUUUUCAAACAAAAAGCAUGCGCUUUCUGUUGUUAUGCGGUAUUAGCACCUAUUUCUAAGUGUUAUCCCCCUGUAUGGGCCAGGUUACCCACGCGUUACUCACCCCGUCCGCCACUAAGCCUUUCCCUUUUCCGU
RNAcentral lists this ribosomal RNA (279 nucleotides) under uncultured bacterium. RNAcentral's name for it is "partial 16S ribosomal RNA". The record is from RNAcentral.